CUUGAAUUUGCCAUCUUCAUGCCUCAACCUCCGGAAUCAGAGAUUACCGGCAUGCACCAACAUGCCACUGUAGCAUGUGACUGCUUUUUAAAAAAAAAAAAAAAAAAAAAGCUUUAAAAUUGGACAUAAAUGAUAAAUGCCUUAAAAUAAAUCUUCUGUAUUCAAAUGUGUUGUAACUAGAACAAAAUUAAGUAUUGAUGGCUAAGUGCAGUACAAUGGCCUCAAACCACUUACCAAUCAGCACAUUAUUUUCCCCUUAAAAAAAUAACAGAACAGUUCUCAGAUGAAGGUUCACUUUAGGAGAGGAAAAAAAAUCAAAUCUUAAAAUAUUCUGGAAGUGUUAAGAGUCACGAAGAAAACAUUGUUGUUCUUCAACCCUGACUAUAUUUUAGCCUAUGGGGGCAAAGAGGCUUCCAAAACUAUCACCUGAAAACUCCCAGGGAGUGAUGCCAGGCAAGAAGUAUUCAAGUUUCCUGGAUAACUCUUGUGUGUGGCCAAGCUACAAUCACCUCCACCCAUCAAGUGUCCCCUACCUCCCUUGAAGGAUUAGUAUAAGCAAGUUUCACUUGGAGCAACAUUGACUAUAUGGCAACCACUCCGAUUUCAUUUUGAAUGAUUUACCUAUAAUCUUUUGAUGUAUUCUGAACCAUUUCCUUUAAGUACAUUGAUACAUGUUCCAGUUGGCUCUCUGGCUGCAAGGACUGGAAAGAACUACUGAAAGGCAAAAGGAGUUCACUGCGAGGCUAUCUAGGAAUUGGGAGGAGAAAGGUGGCAGCCGCUGUAGAGGUGAGUUGCUACUCUGUCACCAUCCUGGAACACACAAAAUUUCUCAUCACAUCUCUGCUUCUGUCUCCCCCACAAUUUAGGUUUACCUGUAUGGAACAACUGACCAAGCUGAUGUUUGCAGUCUCAUUAGCUUGUAGGGAGGCUGCCCUUGGAUGAGACGCUCAGCACUGGUCUGCUCUGCUAAGGUGAUGGCCAGGCUCACAGUCACCUAGGCAUCUCGUGGACACGUGGGCAUGGGUUUCUAGGAAGGCAUCAUGAAUAAAUGAGGGCGUACAGCUGACAAUAACUGAUGGUUCCAGUAACCCAGGAGGGUUGCCCAAGGCAUGCAGGGUAGCAUUAGACUGUGCCUUAAAACUUUAAUAAUGCUUGUAAACAUCCAGUUUUUUUAGAAUUUUAUUCUAUCCUAAUGAAGUUUUGAGGGAAACAUUUCAAUCAUGUUUUCCAUGAAAUUAUUCUGUCAAAAUGUUGCUUCUUUUAGAAGCAUGAAUAUCAUUAACCAGUUAGUUCUGCCUUCCCCUGAAGGUGUUAGUUUGGUUGCCAAAUAAUCAUGCUAAUUAUGUGCAAAAUAAAGAUUGAAAGUCAGAUAGUACAGCUGUUCUGCCAACAAUGUUGGUCUCACCAGUUUCAGCUUGUUAUGAAAACUUGCUCACAUUUAAGUCAUGAACUCUUUUUCUCUUUCACCUAAUUGUAAAGAAAGCUGCUACCCCACCUUCUUCCUAUACAAAAAAACCUGACUUUCCCUGCUUUAUUAAAAUUGGUAUCAUAGAUUAUACAUUGUGGAUAUUAAUAUUAGUCCUCAGCCUUCCUUUUGGAGACUAGCCAGCAUCAGUUACACCAGAAAAUGAAAGAUCAUUACUUUACUAGCAGAAUACUAUGCAUUGUUUGUUUUCCUCUCAUUAAAAGUCUGAGUUAAAAUAUAAAAUCCCAGCUCAUAAUAAGCUAAAAGGUUAAAAUAAGGAUGAACAAUUUCAAUUUGUAUUGCAAUUUUUUUCAAAUUGUGCUGUAUUGCUUCUUUAUCAAAUACAUUGUGACAGUUGCUCCAGAAUAACCAUGAACUUGUUUAAAAAGUUGUUAAAAACUUUAGCUCUAGUGACCAAUUAAUAAGAAACAUGGGACACAAAGGAACAUGAUAAAGGACAGGCUAGGCAAAAUCCAGACUGUGAGAAACUCAAGGACAAAUGACCAGGUUUAUUUGACAGCAGAGAUAGACAAGGAAAAGAAGGAUGGAGGGAGAACCAACAAAGAGCAACUUAAGAAGCACAUUAUGGAUGUUGUUUCACUCUUUGAACAAACUGUCAAAAUCAUUUGUGA
RNAcentral lists this long non-coding RNA (2097 nucleotides) under Marmota monax (woodchuck). The record is from RNAcentral. Lineage: Eukaryota; Metazoa; Chordata; Mammalia; Rodentia; Sciuridae.